GGGGAAGCCGGUGGAAUUCCGGCACUGACCCGCAACCGUGAGCCGCCCAUCGGACCCCCGGGGCCCGGGAGCGGCGAGUCGGAAUGCCC
RNAcentral lists this non-coding RNA (89 nucleotides) under Streptomyces clavuligerus. The record is from RNAcentral. Lineage: Bacteria; Bacillati; Actinomycetota; Actinomycetes; Kitasatosporales; Streptomycetaceae.